RNAcentral lists this ribosomal RNA (275 nucleotides) under uncultured bacterium. RNAcentral describes it as "partial 16S ribosomal RNA". It matches the Rfam family "Bacterial small subunit ribosomal RNA", at positions 338 to 630 of the family's 1533-position model. The record is from RNAcentral.
CCUACGGGUGGCUGCAGUAACGAAUCUUCCGCAAUGCACGAAAGUGUGACGGAGCGACGCCGCGUGCGGGACGAAGUCCUUCGGGAUGUAAACCGCUGUCAGGGGUAAGAAAGUCCUGAUCUACCCCAGAGGAAGGCACGGCUAACUCUGUGCCAGCAGCCGCGGUAAGACAGAGGUGCCGAGCGUUAGGCGGAAUCACUGGGCUUAAAGCGUGUGUAGGCGGACCCGUCAGUACCUUGUGAAAUCCCACGGCUCAACCGUGGAACGGCUCGGUA